CGCACGGUUCCGCAUGGAACAGUGUGAAAAACUCCGGUGGUGUGAGAUGGACCCGCGUCUGAUUAGCCAGUUGGCGGGGUAACGGCCCACCAAAGCGACGAUCAGUAGCCGGCCUGAGAGGGUGAACGGCCACAUUGGGACUGAGACACGGCCCAAACUCCUACGGGAGGCAGCAGUGGGGGAAUAUUGGCACAAUGGGGGAAACCCUGGAUGCAGCGACGCCGGCGUGAGUGAAGAAGUAUUUCGGUAUGUAAAGCUCUUAUCAGCAGGGAAGAAAGUGACGGUACCUGAAUAAGAAGCCCCGGCUAACUACGUG
This 316-nucleotide ribosomal RNA is filed under the name uncultured bacterium. RNAcentral describes it as "bacterial SSU rRNA". It matches the Rfam family "Bacterial small subunit ribosomal RNA", at positions 173 to 507 of the family's 1533-position model. The record is from RNAcentral.